GCUGACUCACUUGUUAGAUUCAAUGAAACGCAGGAUACGCAGGCGGAGGGAUAUUCUUCCAUUGAUAGAAGACACAGAUUAGAAACAGGGCAGGUUUCAUAUAGAGCAACUUUGAAUCCAAGCUGUAGCAUAGCAAAAGGAAAAGGGUGUGGUUUAGUUCAUCUUCCUGAGAUCCAGACAAAUGGCAAUAAAUCUUUACAAUUGGAGAGAACAAAUGAUAGCGAUAAAUUACAAAUGUCUGAUUUAAGGAAAACUGCACACGCGUCGAAAUCAGUAGAUGUUGACUCAAGAAAUAAGAAUCUUGAAAGCCAUAUCUUGAAUUAUAUCGAAGUAGAAUUCAACUCCCGGAAAACAACGCCGAGCUUCUUUAUUCAUGGAUCUGACAAAAAAACGCCAUAUGCAGACAUUGAUCUUACUUUGAAGGCUGAUCCGUUACCUGAGAGUGACUCCAGUGACGAUGAUGAUGCUGGUGGUAAUAACGAACUAGAAGAACAUCAUGAAAAUGACUUUAUGACACUCGAAGAAAUUCAGGAAUUGAGAGAAACCAAUAUGAGAACAUAGAUUGUAUGGCCGUUUUGAGCAAAACAUUCAUAGUAACACACCAUAAACAAUAAAGAUAGUUUUAUACACACGUUGUAUUCUGUUCUCAGGAUUAAUUUAAUAUAUAAAUGGAUCAUCGAAUAUAUCCAUGAAUUUUAAAAAUUCUGAAAUUUCACAUACAAAGAAGUAUUUUUGUAGAUAUUCGUCUGUAAAAUACGAAAUAAGCUAUCGGUAACUGAGUUUACAACAUGUAGGAGAUGCGUAUU
This is a long non-coding RNA of Mytilus californianus (California mussel), 806 nucleotides long. RefSeq lists it as uncharacterized. The record is from RefSeq and is a predicted model, not a curated record. The transcript is spliced from 3 exons. Lineage: Eukaryota; Metazoa; Mollusca; Bivalvia; Mytilida; Mytilidae.